This 877-nucleotide long non-coding RNA is filed under the name Nicotiana tabacum (common tobacco). RNAcentral's name for it is "long non-coding RNA (NTAB_LNC002783)". Lineage: Eukaryota; Viridiplantae; Streptophyta; Magnoliopsida; Solanales; Solanaceae. The record is from RNAcentral.
AAUUCCAAUACACAAACCAAAAUUUCAAUUCAUAUCCUAAAGGUUCAACUCAUAUCCACAAAAGUUCAAGUCAAAUCCUAAAAUUUCAAUUUAUAAACUAAACUUCCAAUACAUAAACCAAAAUUUCAAUUCAUAUCCACAAAAGUUCAUGUCAAAUCCUAAAAUUUCAAUUUAUAAACUAAACUUCUAAUACAUAAACCAAAAUUUCAAUUCAUAUCCUAAAGGUUCAACUCAUAUCCACAAAAGUUCAAGUCAAAUCCUAAAAUUUCAAUUUAUAAACUAAAAUUCCAAUAUAUAAACCAAAAUUUCAAUUUAUAUCCUAAAGGUUCAACUCAUAUCAACAAAAUUUCAAGUCAUAUCCCAAAAUUUCAAAUUUAUAAACUAAAUUCCAAUACAUAAGCCAAAAUUUCAAUUCAUAUCCUAAAGGUUCAACUCAAUACAUAAACCAAAAUUUCAAUUCAUAUCUUAAAGGUUCAACUCAUAUCCACAAAAGAUCAAGUCAUAUCCUAAAAUUUUAAUUUAUAAACUGCAAUUCCAAUACACAAACUAAAAUUCCAAUACAUAAACCAAAAUUUCAAUUCAUAUCCUAAAAGUUCAAGUCAGAUCCACAAAAGUUCAAGUCAGAUCCUAAAAUUUCAAUUUAUAAACUAAAAUUCCAAUACAUAAACCAAAAUUUGAAUUCAUAUCCUAAAGGUUCAACUCAUAUCCACAAAAGUUCAAGUCAAAUCCUAAAAUUUCAAUUUAUAAAUUAAAAUUCCCAUACAUAAACCAAAAUUUCAAUUCAUAUCCUAAAGGUUUAACUCAUAUCCACAAAAGUUCAAGUCUGUCACGACCCAAAAAUCCCUCCAAAGACGUCGUGAUGCCACCUGGUUUCUAA